RNAcentral lists this ribosomal RNA (396 nucleotides) under uncultured Saprolegniales. RNAcentral's name for it is "partial small subunit ribosomal RNA". It matches the Rfam family "Eukaryotic small subunit ribosomal RNA", at positions 30 to 432 of the family's 1831-position model. Lineage: Eukaryota; Oomycota; Saprolegniomycetes; Saprolegniales. The record is from RNAcentral.
GCUUGUCUCAAAGAUUAAGCCAUGCAUGUCUAAGUAUAAGCAUUAUACAGUGAAACUGCGAAUGGCUCAUUAUAUCAGUUAUAGUUUAUUUGAUAGUCCCUGCUAUUUGGAUAACCGUAGUAAUUCUAGAGCUAAUACAUGCGUAAAUACCCAACUGCUUGUCGGACGGGUAGCAUUUAUUAGAUUGAAACCAAUGCAGCUUCGGCUGGUAUUGUGUUGAGUCAUAAUAACUGUGCGGAUCGCUUUUUAAGCGAUAAAUCGAUUGAGUUUCUGCCCUAUCAGCUUUGGAUGGUAGGAUAUGGGCCUACCAUGGCGUUAACGGGUAACGGGGAAUUAGGGUUUGAUUCCGGAGAGGGAGCCUUAGAAACGGCUACCACAUCCAAGGAAGGCAGCAGG